This 1244-nucleotide long non-coding RNA is filed under the name Glycine max (soybean). RNAcentral describes it as "long non-coding RNA (GMAX_LNC000948)". The record is from RNAcentral. Lineage: Eukaryota; Viridiplantae; Streptophyta; Magnoliopsida; Fabales; Fabaceae.
CUCUUAUUAGUGUUUCUAAAUAAAUUUAUCCAAACAGGUCAUAACACUUUGUCGACCAGUACCUGAUAGCUUCAACAUCAUUUGAAGUGUCCUCUCCACACAUUGGAGGUGCUCUGAAGUUGUCUCAGUGUCUAUCUAAUGGUUAAAUGUCACAAACAUUGAUUUUUCACCUAAGUGUUUGUUGUUUUCCUCCAUUUGCAUAGCUCCGUUGAGGUUGGGUCGAUGUAGGCAUUGUUCCUUCUUUGGAAAUUUUAUUGUUAAGGUUCAUUUUUUGGAAUUCUUAGUUAACUAUUUUCCCUAUUAAGUAAUCCAAAAGGGUAUUGAUGGUAAAAGAAUUCAAAAUAUGCAAUCUAGAAGACUUAUUAAUGUCUUACAGAAUAUGUAUUCCAAAAAAUUAAUUACAAUUUCGAACUAGGCAAUGAAGAAAAGAAACUUCAACCUUUCAAAAUAAUUAUUCCAUUAAUUUUUAACCAUCUUCUAGAUUAUCCAUUGCGGAAUAUGUUUAACAUUUUUGGAAUAAUUAUUCUGAAAGAUUGAAGCUUCUUUUUUGGAUAGUAAUUAGUUUUCUAGAUUGAUCAUUAUGUAAUAGGACUGAAAGCCUUCCAGAUUGUCUUUUCAGAACAAUGUUUGAAAAACAAAUGAUCCGGAAUGUAUAUAAAUACGUUACGUUGCACAACAUGUUCAUUCUGAGUGACUUACCUUCGUCGGUGUCGGGGUGGCUUCAAACAGGUUUGUUGCGCAAGGGAAUGGCGGUGCCUUCAACCACCUGAUGUGUCGCAAGCCUUAGGGAGUCAGGUUGGCGCGCCGCACGACUAAGGUGAAGAAGUGACGGUGGCGCACCGUAGCAGUGAAGGAGUGAGGUCAGGGGGUGCUAGCUAGGGUUAGGGAAGGAGGUGCGCCACUUGAGGUAAUAAGAAGCGCGUGAGAGAUAGGAAUAAUUUUGUCAAGGGGUGCAGGAAGCAAACUGGGAGAUGAGUAAAACAUGUGAACUGCAGCAUCUCUCACAUGUUCUAAUCCAUGCAAUAUCUUACAGGGUUAGAACAAAUCUCUCUCUAUCCUAACUAAAUAUUUGAUAGAAUUGUUUAUCUGGAUUCAAAUUUAAUAAUAUACGAGAGUUCAGUCAUGAUUGGAUUAAUUCGAUACAUUAAUAUAAUAUAUCAAUUAUUAUAACAUUAAGAUAAAUAUAACAUGUAAAUAUAAUAUCAUGUUAUUGAAAACAUAAUAGUAUUAUCUCAGGGAAUUAC